AAGUCGUAACAAGGUUUCCGUAGGUGAACCUGCGGAAGGAUCAUUAUAGAGAUUGGUUGGGUAACACCUCCCAAACCUCCCACCCUUUGUUUACAUUACCUUUGUUGCUUUGGCAGGCCCGUCUCUGGACCGCCGGCUUCGGCUGGCCAGUGCCUGCCAGAGGACCUAAAACUCUGUUUAAUUGUAUUGUCUGAGUACUAUAUAAUAGUUAAAACUUUCAACAACGGAUCUCUUGGUUCUG
This 241-nucleotide unclassified non-coding RNA is filed under the name fungal sp. Its description in RNAcentral is "partial contains small subunit ribosomal RNA, internal transcribed spacer 1, and 5.8S ribosomal RNA". The stretch from base 1 to 46 matches the Rfam family "Eukaryotic small subunit ribosomal RNA", at positions 1786 to 1831 of the family's 1831-position model. Lineage: Eukaryota; Fungi. The record is from RNAcentral.